RNAcentral lists this non-coding RNA (21 nucleotides) under Caenorhabditis elegans. Lineage: Eukaryota; Metazoa; Nematoda; Chromadorea; Rhabditida; Rhabditidae. The record is from RNAcentral.
UUCAGUUGUCUCUGUGGAUGC